RNAcentral lists this unclassified non-coding RNA (1147 nucleotides) under Hevea brasiliensis (rubber tree). Lineage: Eukaryota; Viridiplantae; Streptophyta; Magnoliopsida; Malpighiales; Euphorbiaceae. The record is from RNAcentral.
AAAUCAUCCAACUCAUUAUAACUCAUCUAUAAAAGUUGCAUAAAUACAAUAAUGAGUCUUACUUGAAUUCAAUCAUGCUUUCGCAUACAAGCAUGAAACAGAGUGACCACUAGAUUACAAAGCAACUUGUAACUCACCCAAUCUUGUAAGUGACCAUUAGAUCACAAAGUAAUUUCAGUUCAACCCAAUCAAUCUAGUAGGUGACUCUAACCCCUUGGUAUCUAAGUAUCUCCCCAAUAAGCUCACCUUUCCCAGACCCAACAUACCUCCCACAUAUCUCCCCAUCCCUAAUGAAUAAGAAAGUCGGCACCUCCACCACGUCCAUGUCCCUCAAGAACUCCAUGCAGCUGUCGUUCUCAUCUCCGUUCAUCCUCGCAAACACCACCGUCUCCGCCAUCGACCGCGCCAGCUUGAUCACCGUAGGGUACACCUUCACGCACGGCCCACAGUGCUUCAGCCCCACGUCCAGCACCAGCAGCUUCCCAUCUUCUUUGUGUUCAUUCAUCAACUUUUCAACAUCCCCCCUGCAGUGCAGCUGCACCACCGGUGAGUGGUUGUCGCCGUAGUAGAGAACAUCUCCGACGAGCUCGUCGGGGCCGAUGGCCUCCUCGUCAUGGAUCUUCUCGUUCUGUUUAUAGAAGCUGAAGUGGGGCACCUUGUCGAUGCCCUGACGGCGGCAGAGCUCACGGGUUUCGUCAGACUCGUCACCCAUGACAAGGAGGAAGUCGACGUCGGCGCAUGUGCGGCUGAGAUCCACCAUGAAAGGGUAUAUAUUGCGGCUGUAGUGGCUGCGGCUGGCGGCGAACUCGACGACGACCAGCUUGUUCUUGGCGGAGGUAAGGGCGAGUUCGAAUUCUUGGAUGGUGUGGACUUGUUGGACACGUUCGUCGCUUGGUUGCUUGUGGGGGCUAUUUGAUGGUGUUUUGGGUGCUGUUGCGGCGGGCUUUGGAGAGACAGCCAGCGGCGGCAGACGAGGGGGGCGGUUGCUCGGGGCGGCGGUGAAGGAGAGGGUGGUAGGUGGCGUGAGGGAUGAAGGGUCGGAUUUGAUGAGGGAUGGGAGAGAAGAUGGUGAUCGAGAGAGGAAGGUGGCGAUGGAGGCCAUGGAGAUGAUGGUUUAGAGGAAUGUUUGGUGAUGGGGUGUGUGGGG